AAAUGGAAUCGCUAGAAGCAGACCCUGAAUCCCUCACCUCUUCAUGGUGAGUGCUUAAUGUCCACCUUGGACUGGGGCUGUGUCCUAUUUUCUUAAGAGGGUCUACUAGAACAGAUAUUUCUAGCUUAAUGUUUAUAGUCAGAGAAGGUAGAAACGAACAAAAACAAUAAUCACAACACGAGGGUCUCCAGUUCUAAGGAAACUGUUGUCAGCGUUGAGGUCUGUAAUAGCCACUUGUAAAUGUGUAAUGGGAAAGGAGUGGGACUUGUGGCUGAUGUCAGCAGGGCAGCUUUUGUCAGAAGCUGCUCUUUUUGCUUUUCCUUUAGAAGCCAGAUCUGAAAGACCCAUUUUCCUCAGAAUUUCUGCUCCGAGGCCAGUCAAGCACUGUAGAUUCAAGCAUGAGGAUCACCAGUGCGAAGCUUUUCGGAUGUCAACAGCAAAAGUGAUUCUGUAGCUGAGCCCUCCAGGUCAAACACCUGCAUAUGCUCUUGGCCUUCAUGUCUGCAUUUCCCUGGAGGAGGGAAACAAGCCUGCCUUCUCCCUUCCAGACUCCAAGGUGAGAGGGAACUCAAGCGAGACCCAGAGAGACGGUAUUCUUUCUACUUCUGCUGAGCAUUCUGAGCAUGUUGUUUAAAGGGUCAAGAACUUGAACUUAGACAGAGAAAACGAAUUAAAAUAUGUGAUUAUGUUAGUCUCAAACUCCUAGUUAGCGCCCCCUGCCCAACCUUUCCCCUUUGGUAACCACAAGUUUGUUUUCUAUGUCAAAGGUCA
Molecule: long non-coding RNA, 771 nt
Filed under: Cervus hanglu yarkandensis (Yarkand deer)
Lineage: Eukaryota; Metazoa; Chordata; Mammalia; Artiodactyla; Cervidae
Description: lncRNA (ENSCHYG00000011746.1)
Source: RNAcentral